AACGAACGCUGGCGGCAUGCCUAACACAUGCAAGUCGAACGAGACCUUCGGGUCUAGUGGCGCACGGGUGCGUAACGCGUGGGAACCUGCCCCUUGGUUCGGAAUAACAGUUAGAAAUGACUGCUAAUACCGGAUGAUGACUUCGGUCCAAAGAUUUAUCGCCGAGGGAUGGCCCGCGUAGGAUUAGCUAGUUGGUGGGGUAAUGGCCUACCAAGGCGACGAUCCUUAGCUGGUCUGAGAGGAUGAUCAGCCACACUGGGACUGAGACACGGCCCAGACUCCUACGGGAGGCAGCAGUGGGAAUAUUGGACAAUGGGCGAAAGCCUGAUCCAGCAAUGCCGCGUGAGUGAUGAAGGCCUUAGGGUUGUAAAGCUCUUUACCCGGGUAUGAUAAUGACAGUACCGGGAGAAUAAGACCCGGCCUAACUCCGUGCCAGCAGCCGCGGUAAU
This 449-nucleotide ribosomal RNA is filed under the name uncultured bacterium. Its description in RNAcentral is "bacterial SSU rRNA". It matches the Rfam family "Bacterial small subunit ribosomal RNA", at positions 29 to 524 of the family's 1533-position model. The record is from RNAcentral.